RNAcentral lists this ribosomal RNA (250 nucleotides) under uncultured bacterium. RNAcentral's name for it is "partial 16S ribosomal RNA". It matches the Rfam family "Bacterial small subunit ribosomal RNA", at positions 57 to 305 of the family's 1533-position model. The record is from RNAcentral.
GCAAGUCGAGCGGUAACAGAGAUAUCUUGCUAUCUGCUGACGAGCGGCGGACGGGUGAGUAAUGCUUAGGAAUAUGCCUUGAUGUGGGGGACAACCAUUGGAAACGACUGCUAAUACCGCAUAAUGUCUACGGACCAAAGGAGGGGAUCUUCGGACCUUUCGCCUGUAGAUUAGCCCAAGUGAGAUUAGCUAGAUGGUGAGGUAAUGGCUCACCAUGGCGACGAUCUCUAGCUGGUUUGAGAGGAUGAUC